UCCCAACGGGGGGCAGCAGUGGGGAAUAUUGCACAAUGGGGGAAACCCUGAUGCAGCGACGCCGCGUGAGCGAGGAAGUAUUUCGGUAUGUAAAGCUCUGUCAGCAGGGAAGAGGAAUGACGGUACCUGAAGAAGAAGCACCGGCUAAAUACGUGCCAGCAGCCGCGGUAAUACGUAUGGGGCAAGCGUUAUCCGGAUUUACUGGGUGUAAAGGGAGCGUAGGCGGCCUGGCAAGCCUGAUGUGAAAUACCGGGGCCCAACCCCGGGGCUGCAUUGGGAACUGCCAGGCUGGAGUGCCGGAGAGG
RNAcentral lists this ribosomal RNA (305 nucleotides) under uncultured bacterium. RNAcentral describes it as "bacterial SSU rRNA". It matches the Rfam family "Bacterial small subunit ribosomal RNA", at positions 335 to 657 of the family's 1533-position model. The record is from RNAcentral.